GGUCUUGGAUAUGUCUUCUUUCUUUAUUUUUCGGACUUGAAUCUUUUCUCGGAUCUCCAUCGUCAUCAAACAAAAGGAACAAUGUUUUUGUUUUGUUUACGACAGGUCAAGUGACAAUCUCCAUGAGUUUUUGCUCUUGGGCCAGUUACUGGUGGCGCUUGAAGGAGGGAUCGAACCUCCCACCUUGUAAAGAAUGAAACGA
Molecule: long non-coding RNA, 202 nt
Filed under: Arabidopsis lyrata
Lineage: Eukaryota; Viridiplantae; Streptophyta; Magnoliopsida; Brassicales; Brassicaceae
Description: long non-coding RNA (ALYR_LNC002540)
Source: RNAcentral